CCUCAAAGUCGCACCAAGCCUAGACAA
This 27-nucleotide small RNA is filed under the name Bombyx mori (domestic silkworm). Its description in RNAcentral is "ovarian small RNA-13956". The record is from RNAcentral. Lineage: Eukaryota; Metazoa; Arthropoda; Insecta; Lepidoptera; Bombycidae.